RNAcentral lists this ribosomal RNA (468 nucleotides) under uncultured bacterium. Its description in RNAcentral is "partial 16S ribosomal RNA". It matches the Rfam family "Bacterial small subunit ribosomal RNA", at positions 28 to 507 of the family's 1533-position model. The record is from RNAcentral.
GACGAACGCUGGCGGCGUGCUUAACACAUGCAAGUCGAACGGAAAGGCCCUGCUUUUGUGGGGUGCUCGAGUGGCGAACGGGUGAGUAACACGUGAGUAACCUGCCCUUGUCUUUGGGAUAACUUCAGGAAACUGGGGCUAAUACCGGAUAGGAGCUCCUGCUGCAUGGUGGGGGUUGGAAAGUUUCGGCGGUAGUGGCUGGACUCGCGGCUUAUCAGCUUGUUGGUGGGGUAGUGGCUUACCAAGGCUUUGACGGGUAGCCGGCAUGAGAGGGUGACCGGCCACAUUAGGCCUGAGAGACGGCCCAGACGCCUACGGGAGGCAGCAGUGGGGAAUAUUGCAGAAUGGGCGGGAGCCUGAUGCAACAACGCCGCGUGCGUGAUGACGGCCUUCGAGUUGUAAACCGAUUUGGACUGUGACGAGGAGGGAGUGACGGUAAUGGGUAAAGAAGCACCGGCUAACUACGUG